RNAcentral lists this transfer RNA (85 nucleotides) under Candidatus Mancarchaeum acidiphilum. Its description in RNAcentral is "tRNA-Leu". It matches the Rfam family "tRNA". From Rfam's summary of the family: Transfer RNA (tRNA) molecules are approximately 80 nucleotides in length. The record is from RNAcentral. Lineage: Archaea; Nanobdellati; Microcaldota.
GCAGGGAUAACAAAGUCUGGCCAAAUGUGCCAGGUUCAGGGCCUGGUCCCGUAGGGGUUCGUGAGUUCAAAUCUCACUCCCUGCA